UUCAUCUCUUGUUUUCUGUCUGCCCAUCUCUCCCCACAGAAGCAGGAUUUCUAGCUGGUUGUAGUGGGAGUGCAGCAUAGUUAUGAGAACCAGAAGGAGCUUUAUAGAUGGUGAAGCUUCUGAUCAAGAUAUUGAGCACUGAAUCUUCUAGGCUGUCAUCCUCCUCUCCCCAUUCAAGGCUGUUAUUGGCUCUCAGCUAGGCAGACCCCGACAUUUCGGUAACAGUUUCUGGCAACCCCAGAUGGGACUCUCCUAUCUCGGACAUAGGACUUCGGAUGGCUGCGGUGAACUAGGAGCGGUGCCACCGUGGUGUUUAGCCCCUCUUCCUCACUUCACCGUGGCCCCUGGGGUUUGUGCUCUGAUAAGACUCUGAAGCUGCCCUCUCCACUGUUACUGUCAAGCCGAAGAAAGGUAGACCUCUGUUUUUUGUUUUUCAAAUAAUAAAAAAAAACUAAUGCCAGCUAAACAGCAUUCAACAUACCAUGCACUGACUGGCACAAUAAAAAUGAUGUUUUGUGUUCUAUAUUCUGUCUUAUGGUGUUUGUCUCGUGGCCAAAAUUGUUGUGUUUAAUAU
Molecule: long non-coding RNA, 574 nt
Organism: Gopherus evgoodei (Goodes thornscrub tortoise)
Lineage: Eukaryota; Metazoa; Chordata; Testudines; Testudinidae
Exons: 3
Source: RefSeq, a predicted model, not a curated record